AGCUGUCGCUAAAGGAUGGACCCGCGGUGCAUUAGCUAGUUGGUAAGGUAACGGCUUACCAAGGCGACGAUGCAUAGCCGAGUUGAGAGACUGAUCGGCCACAUUGGGACUGAGACACGGCCCAAACUCCUACGGGAGGCAGCAGUAGGGAAUCUUCCACAAUGGGCGAAAGCCUGAUGGAGCAACGCCGCGUGAGUGAAGAAGGUUUUCGGAUCGUAAAGCUCUGUUGUUGGUGAAGAAGGAUAGAGGUAGUAACUGGCCCCUAUUUGACGGUAAUCAACCAGAAAGUCACGGCUAACUACGUGCCAGCGGCCGCGGUAAUACGUAGGUGGCAAGCGUUGUCCGGAUUUAUUGGGCGUAAAGCGAGCGCAGGCGGAAAGAUAAGUCUGAUGUGAAAGCCCCCGGCUUAACCGAGGAAUUGCAUCGGAAACUGUGUUUCUUGAGUGCAGAAGAGGAGAGUGGAACUCCAUGUGUAGCGGUGGAAUGCGUAGAUAUAUGGAAGAACACCAGUGGCGAAGGCGGCUCUCUGGUCUGUAACUGACGCUGAGGCUCGAAAGCAUGGGUAGCGAACAGGAUUAGAUACCCUGGUAGUCCAUGCCGUAAACGAUGAGUGCUAAGUGUUGGGAGGUUUCCGCCUCUCA
Molecule: ribosomal RNA, 641 nt
Filed under: uncultured bacterium
Lineage: Bacteria
Description: bacterial SSU rRNA
Rfam family: Bacterial small subunit ribosomal RNA
Source: RNAcentral